CCUACGGGAGGCAGCAGUGAGGAAUAUUGGUCAAUGGACGAGAGUCUGAACCAGCCAAGUAGCGUGAAGGAUGACUGCCCUAUGGGUUGUAAACUUCUUUUAUAUGGGAAUAAAACGUUCCACGUGUGGGAUUUUGUAUGUACCAUAUGAAUAAGGAUCGGCUAACUCCGUGCCAGCAGCCGCGGUAAUACGGAGGAUCCGAGCGUUAUCCGGAUUUAUUGGGUUUAAAGGGAGCGUAGGUGGAUUGUUAAGUCAGUUGUGAAAGUUUGCGGCUCAACCGUAAAAUUGCAGGUGAAACUGGCAGUCUUGAGUACAGUAGAGGUGGGCGGAAUUCGUGGUGUAGCGGUGAAAUGCUUAGAUAUCACGAAGAACUCCGAUUGCGAAGGCAGUUCACUGGACUGCAACUGACACUGAGGCUCGAAAGUGUGGGUAUCAAACAGGAUUAGAUACCCUGGUAGUG
Molecule: ribosomal RNA, 460 nt
Filed under: uncultured bacterium
Lineage: Bacteria
Description: partial 16S ribosomal RNA
Rfam family: Bacterial small subunit ribosomal RNA
Source: RNAcentral